GGGAUUGUGGCUCAGUGGUAGAGCACUUGCUUCCCAUGCAUGGGGCACUGGGUUCGAUCCUCAGCACCA
Non-coding RNA from Ictidomys tridecemlineatus (thirteen-lined ground squirrel), 69 nucleotides. The record is from Rfam. NCBI's taxonomy places the organism in Eukaryota, Metazoa, Chordata, Mammalia, Rodentia, Sciuridae.